Mangifera indica (mango) is the source of this 359-nucleotide long non-coding RNA. RefSeq lists it as uncharacterized. The transcript is spliced from 3 exons. NCBI's taxonomy places the organism in Eukaryota, Viridiplantae, Streptophyta, Magnoliopsida, Sapindales, Anacardiaceae. The record is from RefSeq and is a predicted model, not a curated record.
UCUCUUGAUCUCUCCACUCUCUUCACCAAAGAAACUCUCUCUCUUCACAUCAAUUUACUUACAAAUUUCAAGGUUUACAUAAAUGAUGCAAAUGUCCAAAGUUGUAAAAAAAUCGAUGUUAAAGACCAACAAGUUUAUAGCCCCUUUUAGAAUGACACAUGAUAAUCCAAGUUUUGAACCUCCAAAGGCAACAAAUGUUAAGAUACAUGGUGAUCUAAAGGAAAACAAUAAAAUAACCAUUACCACAGACGUUAACGGAGGGGUUGAAGUUGUUAGUGUAGUUCAGUGGUAUAAAACUACGACUAUUGAAUUAGAUAUUCAAAAUGGUCUUGAAGAAAUUAGCAUGUGUACUACUGAAA